UUUGAUGAGGCGCAUCAAUCAUUAGUAAGUAUGGCGUGAUACUACCUGCAAGUAGCGCAGACUGAAAGGGUGAGAUGCCGAAAUGACUUACAAUUGCAGUUGUACGUUGUUGGAUUCUUAGGUUAAGAGCUGUGAAUCUGUCAUUAUGAAAAUAAUGGAGUGCAUC
Molecule: non-coding RNA, 166 nt
Filed under: Staphylococcus auricularis
Lineage: Bacteria; Bacillati; Bacillota; Bacilli; Caryophanales; Staphylococcaceae
Description: Lysine riboswitch
Rfam family: Lysine riboswitch aptamer
About the family: Riboswitches are metabolite binding domains within certain messenger RNAs that serve as precision sensors for their corresponding targets. Allosteric rearrangement of mRNA structure is mediated by ligand binding, and this results in modulation of gene expression.
Source: RNAcentral